Molecule: ribosomal RNA, 468 nt
Filed under: uncultured bacterium
Lineage: Bacteria
Description: partial 16S ribosomal RNA
Rfam family: Bacterial small subunit ribosomal RNA
Source: RNAcentral
GACGAACGCUGGCGGCGUGCUUAACACAUGCAAGUCGAACGGAAAGGCCCUGCUUUUGUGGGGUGCUCGAGUGGCGAACGGGUGAGUAACACGUGAGUAACCUGCCCUUGACUUUGGGAUAACUUCAGGAAACUGGGGCUAAUACCGGAUAGGAGCUCCUGCUGCAUGGUGGGGGUUGGAAAGUUUCGGCGGUUGGGGAUGGACUCGCGGCUUAUCAGCUUGUUGGUGGGGUAGUGGCUUACCAAGGCUUUGACGGGUAGCCGGCCUGAGAGGGUGACCGGCCACAUUGGGCCUGAGAUACGGCCCAGACUCCUACGGGAGGCAGCAGUGGGGAAUAUUGCACAAUGGGCGCAAGCCUGAUGCAGCAACGCCGCGUGCGGGAUGACGGCCUUCGGGUUGUAAACCGCUUUCGCCUGUGACGAAGCGUGAGUGACGGUAAUGGGUAAAGAAGCACCGGCUAACUACGUG